GACGAACGCUGGCGGCGUGCUUAACACAUGCAAGUCGAACGGAAAGGCCCUGCUUUUGUGGGGUGCUCGAGUGGCGAACGGGUGAGUAACACGUGAGUAACCUGCCCUUGACUUUGGGAUAACUUCAGGAAACUGGGGCUAAUACCGGAUAGGAGCUCCUGCUGCAUGGUGGGGGUUGGAAAGUUUCGGCGGUUGGGGAUGGACUCGCGGCUUAUCAGCUUGUUGGUGGGGUAGUGGCUUACCAAGGCUUUGACGGGUAGCCGGCCUGAGAGGUUGAACGGGCACAUUGGGACUGAGAUACGGCCCAGACUGCUACGGGAGGCAGCAGUGGGAAAUAUUGCACAAUGGGCGGAAGUCUGAUGAAGAAACGCUGCGUUUGGGAUGACGGCCUUCGGGUUGUAAACCGCUUUAGCCUGAGACGAAGCGUGAGUGACGGUAACAGGAAAAGAAGCACCGGCUAACUACGUG
RNAcentral lists this ribosomal RNA (468 nucleotides) under uncultured bacterium. RNAcentral's name for it is "partial 16S ribosomal RNA". It matches the Rfam family "Bacterial small subunit ribosomal RNA", at positions 28 to 507 of the family's 1533-position model. The record is from RNAcentral.